RNAcentral lists this ribosomal RNA (1366 nucleotides) under uncultured bacterium. Its description in RNAcentral is "bacterial SSU rRNA". It matches the Rfam family "Bacterial small subunit ribosomal RNA". The record is from RNAcentral.
AGAGUUUGCUCCUGGCUCAGGACGAACGCUGGCGGCGCGCCUAACACAUGCAAGUCGAACGAGCGAGAGAGAGCUUGCUUUCUCAAGCGAGUGGCGAACGGGUGAGUAACGCGUGAGGAACCUGCCUCAAAGAGGGGGACAACAGUUGGAAACGACUGCUAAUACCGCAUAAGCCCACGACCCGGCAUCGGGUUGAGGGAAAAGGAGCAAUCCGCUUUGAGAUGGCCUCGCGUCCGAUUAGCUGGUUGGUGAGGUAACGGCCCACCAAGGCAACGAUCGGUAGCCGGACUGAGAGGUUGAACGGCCACAUUGGGACUGAGACACGGCCCAGACUCCUACGGGAGGCAGCAGUGGGGAAUAUUGCACAAUGGGGGAAACCCUGAUGCAGCGACGCCGCGUGGAGGAAGAAGGUCUUCGGAUUGUAAACUCCUGUUGUUGAGGAAGAUAAUGACGGUACUCAACAAGGAAGUGACGGCUAACUACGUGCCAGCAGCCGCGGUAAAACGUAGGUCACAAGCGUUGUCCGGAAUUACUGGGUGUAAAGGGAGCGCAGGCGGGAAGACAAGUUGGAAGUGAAAUCUAUGGGCUCAACCCAUAAACUGCUUUCAAAACUGUUUUCUUGAGUAGUGCAGGGGUAGGCGGAAUUCCCGGUAUAGCGGUGGAAUGCGUAGAUAUCGGGAGGAACACCAGUGGCGAAGGCGGCCUACUGGGCACCAACUGACGCUGAGGCUCGAAAGUGUGGGUAGCAAACAGGAUUAGAUACCCUGGUAGUCCACACCGUAAACGAUGAUUACUAGGUGUUGGAGGAUUGACCCCUUCAGUGCCGCAGUUAACACAAUAAGUAAUCCACCUGGGGAGUACGACCGCAAGGUUGAAACUCAAAGGAAUUGACGGGGCCCGCACAAGCAGUGGAGUAUGUGGUUUAAUUCGACGCAACGCGAAGAACCUUACCAAGUCUUGACAUCCUGCGACGCACAUAGAAAUAUGUGUUUCCUUCGGGACGCAGAGACAGGUGGUGCAUGGUUGUCGUCAGCUCGUGUCGUGAGAUGUUGGGUUAAGUCCCGCAACGAGCGCAACCCUUACUGUCAGUUACUACGCAAGAGGACUCUGGCAGGACUGCCGUUGACAAAACGGAGGAAGGUGGGGAUGACGUCAAAUCAUCAUGCCCUUUAUGACUUGGGCUACACACGUACUACAAUGGCGUUAAACAAAGAGAAGCAAGACCGCGAGGUGGAGCAAAACUCAGAAACAACGUCCCAGUUCGGACUGCAGGCUGCAACUCGCCUGCACGAAGUCGGAAUUGCUAGUAAUCGUGGAUCAGCAUGCCACGGUGAAUACGUUCCCGGGCCUGUACACACCGCCCGUC